GUCUUUGGCUGCAGUAGAGCCAUUAGGAAGCACGCUAAGUGAGCUGCGCCCAGUGGAUGGGAGUUGGAGCAUGGAGAAGUGGAGUAUAGAGCACAAGUGUCUUUUUAUCCAACCCAGCACAGAUAUGUCUACUUGGGAGAUACUCUUCCCAGGGAACGUGUGAAUGAGGUCAAGCUCCAGCGAGAAGCUGAGAAUUGGCUGCACUCAUCCGAGGCCAGAGGCUAGAGAGAUGCUUAUAGCACACAGAGCCUUGCUUUUCCCAACACUGCUACAGCCACUCCAGCACCUUCCAAGUGACAGCAGUGCCUCUUGCCAGUGAAGUGUCACCCUGCCUUAUCACCACCCCUCCAUAGACCACAUAUCUGGACUCCAGGAUUGAGAGACAACGGACUCUGCUGUUUUAAGCCCACAGUUUGUGGCAGAUGGUUACGCAGCCCUAAGGAAACUAACAACCUGACCUGCCCUUCAGGUGCUCCCUGUUGGCACUACUCCCAACCCAGUACACACUCCUAUAUUUUCCUUUUCCGUGUGGUUUUGCAACUGCUCUGUGACUUUGUUGCCUUCCACACUAGACCCCAAGCCCCUGCAAGGUGGGGAUUUUGUCACCUGUGACCUUCUGCCAAGUUCCAGCA
This is a long non-coding RNA of Bos taurus (domestic cattle), 632 nucleotides long. The record is from Ensembl. NCBI's taxonomy places the organism in Eukaryota, Metazoa, Chordata, Mammalia, Artiodactyla, Bovidae.